Molecule: long non-coding RNA, 325 nt
Filed under: Elaeis guineensis (African oil palm)
Lineage: Eukaryota; Viridiplantae; Streptophyta; Magnoliopsida; Arecales; Arecaceae
Description: long non-coding RNA (EGUI_LNC002920)
Source: RNAcentral
GAAUGACAUAUUUAUCACUAGGAUUAUAUUUAUUUAUCUUUGAUUGGUAUUGUUGUGAUGUUCUUGCAUACUUCAUCAUGGAUCCCGCAUUGGUUCAAGUCUUCGGCAUGGAUGACAUGUCAUCCCCCCAACAUAUACAGGGUAAUAUGUCACCUCCCCAACAAUAUAUAUAUAUAUAUUAGAUUGUUAAAUACUUGCGACAUUUAAAUUAUUGAUCUUAUUCGUUCAGGACCUUGUAUCUUAUUUUUUUCUCUUCAAGUUCCACGGAGCAUUAAAUAAGAUGUAGAGAACACAUAUGAUAUAUUUCGUCCAUCCAAGACCCUCC